AGUCGAACGAUGAACCGCUUUCGGGCGGGGAUUAGUGGCGAACGGGUGAGUAACACGUGGGCAAUCUGCCCUGCACUCUGGGACAAGCCCUGGAAACGGGGUCUAAUACCGGAUAUGACUGUCCAUCGCAUGGUGGAUGGUGUAAAGCUCCGGCGGUGCAGGAUGAGCCCGCGGCCUAUCAGCUUGUUGGUGAGGUAGUGGCUCACCAAGGCGACGACGGGUAGCCGGCCUGAGAGGGCGACCGGCCACACUGGGACUGAGACACGGCCCAGACUCCUACGGGAGGCAGCAGUGGGGAAUAUUGCACAAUGGGCGAAAGCCUGAUGCAGCGACGCCGCGUGAGGGAUGACGGCCUUCGGGUUGUAAACCUCUUUCAGCAGGGAAGAAGCGAAAGUGACGGUACCUGCAGAAGAAGCGCCGGCUAACUACGUGCCAGCAGCCGCGGUAAUACGUAGGGCGCAAGCGUUGUCCGGAAUUAUUGGGCGUAAAGAGCUCGUAGGCGGCUUGUCACGUCGGUUGUGAAAGCCCGGGGCUUAACUCCGGGUCUGCAGUCGAUACGGGCAGGCUAGAGUUCGGUAGGGGAGAUCGGAAUUCCUGGUGUAGCGGUGAAAUGCGCAGAUAUCAGGAGGAACACCGGUGGCGAAGGCGGAUCUCUGGGCCGAUACUGACGCUGAGGAGCGAAAGCGUGGGGAGCGAACAGGAUUAGAUACCCUGGUAGUCCACGCCGUAAACGGUGGGCACUAGGUGUGGCAACAUUCCACGUUGUCCGUGCCGCAGCUAACGCAUUAAGUGCCCCGCC
Molecule: ribosomal RNA, 799 nt
Filed under: Streptomyces albidoflavus
Lineage: Bacteria; Bacillati; Actinomycetota; Actinomycetes; Kitasatosporales; Streptomycetaceae
Description: bacterial SSU rRNA
Rfam family: Bacterial small subunit ribosomal RNA
Source: RNAcentral